GGCCUGCCGCCGCCACCGCCUCAGGGAAGAGGAAGGAGGCCGCGGCUUCGCGUCCCGCCUCUCGCCUGGCUGGCCGUGGGGGGCCUGGACGCAGUGGCCUCCCGAAUCUCCCAGGACCCUAAUAUCGCCCGAGGAUGCUGGGAGGAACGCUGAGCCGACCUCUCCGUUAGGCUGAAGAUUGCACAAACCAUGCUAAUGGCCAGCAUGGAUGGAGGGAGCGUGUGAGAUGUGUGGGGCAGCGUGCUGCAUCUCAGCCAACUCCAGGAGGCCAAGCUAUAAAUAAAGGGUGGACUGACCUUGUCAACUGUUAAAUUGGAGCCGUGGUGCGUUGCCUAGAACAUUGCGGAUGACCCCGAGCAGCACAGCAGAUCAACGGCUGAGAAAGAGCUCAUUCAGCUCAUCUAACUAGGAUGCUGUCCUGCCAGAGCCCUGGGGGUUCUCGUCUCCUGGGGCAAAAGCAGCAUGCAACCCUUAUGAACCCAUCUUGGAAGGCAUUCGGGGAGCCCAAGACAAGACCAUUGGGAGCCUCAGGGUCACUUGUGGGGGUCUCUGUGCUGGACGGCUGUACCUCUCAUGAAAUGGACAACUGACCAUAAGAAGGAGGUUAGCCUUUGUGGCUUGGGCAUCCAGCCUUUCAGAGAUAUGAAACCACACACGUCUUCAGAGUGAACAGCUGCUCACCCCGAUGUGCUCAAGGGGUGCAGGAUGUGGACACAUCCUACUGAAUGAGCCAGACAACGUAACUGGAUCUGUCCAGAACACCACGAUGGGUGACAUUGCCAUCUGCAGCAGUGCUGUACUUCCUCCCGCCAAUUUGUAAAGUGCAGACAGGAUGCUGGAUCAACUGGCUGCUGCUGAGGCCAGUGACCUCUAGGGCGUAUUCCCACGUUCCUUUGCAGUAGCUGCUCACCUUUGUAAGCAUGUGAGUUAUUCGUGCUGUCUGUUGUGAUCCUAAGGAAUCCAAUGGUCAGGACCAGAACUUCUGAAGUACAGCCCAGCAUUGCCGUCUGGCAUCCCCAGAAAGCAGAUUUUGAGAUUGGCAUGAUGGCCGUUAAGCAGGGCGUUCUCUCUGGAGCAAUGUCUAGCCGGGGUCGGAGUGGGGAGAGAGAGAGGGGGGCUGCUGAGAAUAUCACAGAGAGAUGGCAGCCUUUCUGCAGCAUAGGCCUAAGUGCACACUCACCUGGCUAUCACUGAGAGGACUCUCUGUUCAACAGGGCCACUCAGGGCUUCCCCUGCAUGGAGAUCUGAGUGUCCAGGGAGGGGACGUGGUGAGCAUUUCUCUGGUCAAAGUGUGCAAAGCAAAAUCUGCCCCAUUCCUGCCAAAGUGGUUGACAUGGAGGAAAGGGGAGUGCCAGUUCUGUAGGCUGAGGUGGUGGCUGUUAGAACUGCUCCUAGGCUAGUUGGUGUUCUGGAAGGUUCCCCUCUAUGUGAGAUGAAAGAGCAUAUCUUUAAGAGCUGCAACUUUGAAGCUCUAAUAUAGAAUGCUUUUGGUGGCAAGCAUUACUUCGGAAAGGGCUUGAAGACCCCUGAAGAUCCUUGGUGGCCUAGGCAGUUCCUUUAUUGCCAGGGCUGUGCAGGACUAAGCUUCAACAGCGCCACCAUGUGACAAGAAGCAAUUGCAGUGGUGCAUUGAGGGUUUUCUUUUGCACUGAGAACUCAAGUCCCACUUUCACCCUUGGACCUGGUAAAUCUUUGGGGUUCAUGGACAAUUCUGAGGAGGAGAUACUUAAGAGAGUGAUGUUAGAAUUUGAUGUUUUGGUUUAUUGUAUCAGAAAAUAAAAGAAAUUGGAUUUAUAGCUCA
RNAcentral lists this long non-coding RNA (1801 nucleotides) under Homo sapiens (human). Its description in RNAcentral is "GMDS divergent transcript". Lineage: Eukaryota; Metazoa; Chordata; Mammalia; Primates; Hominidae. The record is from RNAcentral.